GAUGAACGCUGGCGGUAUGCCUUACACAUGCAAGUCGUACGAGAGUUUUUAACUCUAGGGGCGGACGGGUGAGUAAUGCGUGAGAAUCUGCCCUCUGGUCGGGGACAACCACGGGAAACUGUGGCUAAUACCGGAUAGGCCGAAAGGUGAAAAAUUUAUUGCCAGAAGAGGAGCUCGCGUCUGAUUAGCUAGUUGGUGGGGUAAAGGCUUACCAAGGCAGCGAUCAGUAGCUGGUCUGAGAGGAUGAUCAGCCACACUGGGACUGAGACACGGCCCAGACUCCUACGGGAGGCAGCAGUGGGGAAUUUUCCGCAAUGGGCGAAAGCCUGACGGAGCAAUACCGCGUGAGGGAGGAAGGCUCUUGGGUCGUAAACCUCUUUUGUCAGGGAAGAAGCUCUGACGGUACCUGACGAAUAAGCAUCGGCUAACUCCGUGCCAGCAGCCGCGGUAAUACGGAGGAUGCAAGCGUUAUCCGGAAUUAUUGGGCGUAAAGCGUCCGCAGGUGGCAAUCCAAGUCUGCUGUUAAAGACCGGGGCUUAACUCCGGAAAGGCAGUGGAAACUGGAUAGC
This 569-nucleotide ribosomal RNA is filed under the name uncultured bacterium. RNAcentral's name for it is "bacterial SSU rRNA". It matches the Rfam family "Bacterial small subunit ribosomal RNA", at positions 28 to 641 of the family's 1533-position model. The record is from RNAcentral.